This 702-nucleotide ribosomal RNA is filed under the name Vertigo inserta. RNAcentral's name for it is "eukaryotic LSU rRNA". The stretch from base 419 to 702 matches the Rfam family "Eukaryotic large subunit ribosomal RNA", at positions 1 to 278 of the family's 3401-position model. Lineage: Eukaryota; Metazoa; Mollusca; Gastropoda; Stylommatophora; Vertiginidae. The record is from RNAcentral.
GGGCUCAUCCCGAGGCCACGCCCGUCUGAGGGUCGGCUAGACCCAAAGCAAUCGUCUCCUAGAAUCGGGACGCGGCAGAGCGAUCGUUUACGGUGUGUGUCUGCGCGCGGAGAAGCUCUCUCUGCCGGACACCCCGUGCGACGUGUCGGCCCUUGCCGUAUGCGACCCGCGGAGGCGCCCUGGGCUCUCGAGGACUCUUUCGGGUCCCCGUGGCCUCAAAUUCAUGCAGCGCCGUCACUGCUCUUCGACCCGUUUAGCAUCGACGGCUCCGCCGCACGGCAGGACUCGGAUUGCGUAGCUUUCUCUCAAACGAGCCUGCCAGCAGCUCUUUAAGGCGACCGUGUGUUGUUAUCCUGGUGGAGCGAGCGCGGGUGACGCGCCCAAUUGCCAAAUGAUAGGAGAUUUCCUUUCACAUCUCCGACCUCAGAUCGGACGAGAUUACCCGCUGAAUUUAAGCAUAUAACUAAGCGGAGGAAAAGAAACUAACAAGGAUUUCCCCAGUAACGGCGAGUGAAGCGGAAAGAGCCCAGCACCGAAUCCCUCAGUGUCAUGCUGACGGGAACUGUGGUGUGAGGGACGCCACCAGUCGCACCAGAGGGUACCGAAGUCCUCCUGAUCGGGGCUUCACCCAGAGUGGGUGUAAGGCCUUUGCUGGUACCUCUCGGUGCGGCCGCGAGCGUCUCAGGAGUCGGGUUGUUUGGG